CAUCAGAAGAGAAGUGAGGAGGAGGUGUAACCUACUAGGGUUAGGGUUACACUCCAUCAGAAGAGAAGUGAGGAGGAGGUGUAACCUACUAGGGUUAGGGUUACGCUCCAUCAGAAGAGAAGUGAGGAGGAGGUGUAACCUUUUCUUUGCACCACAUGCAGGGCCCACAUUCACUUUGCUUAUGGGACUUAGGGGCUUCUGAGUGAAGCAUGCUAGACCAUCACCAUCCCGAACAUUAGCCAGCCACCACUGAUUCAAGACAUCUAUUAGCAGGCUUGGGGUUUGUGUUUCCAAUGACACCCUGUUCCCGACAUAGAUCAUUUUUUGGGGGGGACCAGAGCCCUCAAAAGUAGUGCACUACGUAGGGAAUAGGGUUCAUAUAUGAGACGUACCCCUGCUUUUAAAAGGAUCAGGAGGCUUCACAGGCAUUUGACUUCAAGCAUUGUCAUUCAUUCAAAUUUAUUCAUCUGAAUACAGUUAACAAUUAAAAAAAAAAAAAAAAAACGAUCCACAUUUUUCCCUCCGAGGAUUAAUUUGGUUGAUUUCAAUAUUGAUGUAUUGUCACUGCAGCCUAGUCUCCCUGUCAGCCCUCCUGUGGAGGAUGUAGAGACUCUUCUCCGGCAGACUCCACUAGAAUAGACUCAGAGAGGAACAGCGCCACACACACACACACACACACACACACACACACACAAUUUUUCAUAUUUCCAUAUUGAAUAGAAUUAAUAAUUAAUUAUAGCUGAAUGGAGAAUCACAGUCAUGAUGUAGUGGACCACUGCUGAGAUAGGCAUGUUAUGUAUAGUACAGUGGAC
Molecule: long non-coding RNA, 812 nt
Organism: Oncorhynchus tshawytscha (Chinook salmon)
Lineage: Eukaryota; Metazoa; Chordata; Actinopteri; Salmoniformes; Salmonidae
Source: Ensembl